AGCGAACGCUGGCGGCAGGCCUAACACAUGCAAGUCGAACGAACUCUUCGGAGUUAGUGGCGGACGGGUGAGUAACACGUGGGAACGUGCCUUUUGGUUCGGAAUAACUCAGGGAAACUUGUGCUAAUACCGAAUGUGCCCUUCGGGGGAAAGAUUUAUCGCCAUUAGAGCGGCCCGCGUCUGAUUAGCUAGUUGGUGAGGUAACGGCUCACCAAGGCGACGAUCAGUAGCUGGUCUGAGAGGAUGACCAGCCACACUGGGACUGAGACACGGCCCAGACUCCUACGGGAGGCAGCAGUGGGGAAUCUUGCGCAAUGGGCGAAAGCCUGACGCAGCCAUGCCGCGUGAAUGAUGAAGGUCUUAGGAUUGUAAAAUUCUUUCACCGGGGACGAUAAUGACGGGACCCGGAGAAGAAGCCCCGGCUAACUUCGU
This 432-nucleotide ribosomal RNA is filed under the name uncultured bacterium. RNAcentral describes it as "partial 16S ribosomal RNA". It matches the Rfam family "Bacterial small subunit ribosomal RNA", at positions 29 to 506 of the family's 1533-position model. The record is from RNAcentral.